RNAcentral lists this ribosomal RNA (400 nucleotides) under uncultured bacterium. RNAcentral describes it as "bacterial SSU rRNA". It matches the Rfam family "Bacterial small subunit ribosomal RNA", at positions 355 to 771 of the family's 1533-position model. The record is from RNAcentral.
UGGGGAAUCUUGCACAAUGGGGGAAACCCUGAUGCAGCGACGCCGCGUGAGCGAAGAAGUAUUUCGGUAUGUAAAGCUCUAUCAGCAGGGAAUAAAAAAGAAGGUACCUGACGAAGAAGCCCCGGCUAACUACGUGCCAGCAGCCGCGGUAAUACGUAGGGGGCAAGCGUUAUCCGGAUUUACUGGGUGUAAAGGGAGCGUAGACGGUGCGUUAAGUCAGAAGUGAAAGCCCAUUGCUCAACGAUGGAGCUGCUUUUGAAACUAACGAACUAGAGUACAGGAGAGGUAAGUGGAAUUCCUAGUGUAGCGGUGAAAUGCGUAGAGAUUAGGAGGAACACCAGUGGCGAAGGCGGCUUACUGGACUGAAACUGACGUUGAGGCUCGAAAGCGUGGGGAGCAA